GAUGAACGCUGGCGGCGUGCCUAAUACAUGCAAGUCGAGCGAACGGACGAGAAGCUUGCUUCUCUUAUGUUAGCGGCGAACGGGUGAGUAACACGUGGAUAACCUACCUAUAAGACUGGGAUAACUUCGGGAAACCGGAGCUAAUACCGGAUAAUAUUUUGAACCGCAUGGUUCAAAAGUGAAAGACGGUCUUGCUGUCACUUAUAGAUGGAUCCGCGAUGCAUUAGCUAGUUGGUAAGGUAACGGCUUACCAAGGCAACGAUGCAUAGCCGACCUGAGAGGGUGAACGGCCACACUGGAACUGAGACUCGGUCCAGACUCCGACGGGAGGCAGCGGUAGGGAAUCCUCCGCGAUGGGCGAGUGCCUGACGGAGCAAAGCCGCGUGAGUGAUGAAGGUCUUCGGAUCGUAGAACGAUGUUAUUAGGGAAGAACAUAUGUGUAAGUAACUGUGCACAUCUUGACGGUACCUAAUCAGAAAGCCACGGCUAACUACGUG
RNAcentral lists this ribosomal RNA (497 nucleotides) under uncultured bacterium. RNAcentral describes it as "partial 16S ribosomal RNA". It matches the Rfam family "Bacterial small subunit ribosomal RNA", at positions 28 to 507 of the family's 1533-position model. The record is from RNAcentral.